Long non-coding RNA from Ostrea edulis (European flat oyster), 4887 nucleotides. RefSeq lists it as uncharacterized. NCBI's taxonomy places the organism in Eukaryota, Metazoa, Mollusca, Bivalvia, Ostreida, Ostreidae. The record is from RefSeq and is a predicted model, not a curated record. The transcript is spliced from 2 exons.
UCCAUGUACUUUAGCCUGACAUAAAUAUAUUUUAUUUCUGGGAAUUUUUUCCAAAACACUAUUCCGGAAUUCAUUUCCUUUUAUGACUAGGCAAUUUUGGAAGAAAGGUUAGACAAAAGUUGAGACAAAAUCUUAAUUUCUUUUAAGAUUCAGAAGUUUUAGAAAAUAUAUGUUGAAUUGUAGAAAAAACAUGCCAAAAGAAAGAUCAACAAGGGCGAAAAAGAAGGGAGCUGAAGUUAUUAGAAAUGGAUGAACAAAUAAAAAUGUUGAAGGACCAGUUGAAGUUCAAGAGCAGAUGACCAUUGAGGCAUAAAAAAUAAUGGAUUUAAGGGAGAAUUAGAUGCAUCACCCAGGGAUGAACCGUUGGAUUGAAAAUGGAGAAUUCCAGAUAAUCCGUUCAAGGGUUGUACGAGGGCCUCGUAUUUGGUGACAAAGACAAGGAGGUUUACCCUGAGUUUUUUUUUGUUUUGUUUUUAUUUGUUUUUGCUUCCAUUUGCAUCUGAUAAUAGUGUUGCUCAAUUGUAGUUAUCAAAUACCACUUGUAUGUUUUGGUUGAUGUCAUUAUGGCUAUAGCCUCUCUUUAAGGGUUGUUUUGAAUUAUUUAAGGCUUUCUUGUAAUACAUCUCCAUCACUCAUUUUUCUUAUAUGGUGUAUGGUUUAACUUUUAAUAAAUCCCAUAAAAAGGAAGGAUUAUGUGCACUUUUGUGUUUCAAAUACUGGAACGUGUUUGUUGGUUUGAUGUACAUUCUAAAAUACAGGGUGCGAGUUACCUGAAAUCGCUUUCCUUUAUACACCAUAAUGUUUAAGUAAGUAAGUAAUAUUUAUCUAAAGUCGGCAAUAUACAAUUUAAGCAGUUGGUAAGUAGAAUAAACUAUAAUAGUGAAUAAAUAACAGAUUUAUUUUUCUUCUCUGUGAAAUAUAGCAAAGCCAUCAUCACGAUAAUGCAUGUGCCAGUGGUACUUAAUGCGAUUUUGUUUUAAUAGGAAUCCCGAGCUUGUAACUUAAUUCCGGGCUGGAGCAUUUUAUUGGUAUAUCUGUACUGAAAAAACGUAUUGCAAUAUGAUAUUUUUUGUUUUUACCCUGCCCAUAAAGCCCCAGGGGUGCAGGAGUCCUGAAAAUUACAAUUUAUGUUCCCCUUGUCCGGAAGAUGCUUCAUACCAAAUUUGAAAAGAAUUGGAAUGGUAGUUAUCAAGAAGAAGUUAAAAAUGUUCAAUUGUUAACACAUCACAGACAACUGAUGAUGACAUGCACAGACCAAUUUCAAUGUCACCUGAGUAAACUCAAGUGACCUAAAAAGUGUGCAAAAUAAAUACGGCAAAAUACAGUACAUAACAUCACAAAUCUGACUCACUUUUCUUUCCACCAGAGCACUUUCCUUUUGAACCUGGGUCUGCAGAGCCAUUGUUAUCUUGGCCACAAUCCUGUUUUGAGCCAUUGCAUUGGAGGGUUCUGAUGAUGCCACCAGAGUCAGAGCCUUCUGGAAAUAAUCCACAGCUUUUUUUACAUUAUUCUGAUUGAAUGCCACUGCUCCAAGCCCCUCACACACCUGCCACUGCGUUCUCUUGUCACCUACAGUAAGCAUUAAUAAAGAAAUUAUUUUGAAUCUCUAUCAACUGACACCAUCUUUGAGGGAACCUUCACAUAUUCUAUGAUUAUUAAUCAGUUAUGCAUUAAAAAGACAAUUUUCUCUUCAUUUCUCUGCAAAUUCUUUGGGUCAAUCACAUCAGCCAUUAAUGUAAGAAGAUUAAUAUCUACCUCUGGAAAUUGCUUGCAAAAUGUUUACAGGGUCAUAACUUUACACUGACUUAAGCCCCAGUCUGAUUAAAACCAGACCUUCAAUCUCGCUCCCCCUUUUUUUCUAUGUCUGCUCGUUAAAGGUCUGACAACACCGGCCUGUGGGUAACGUCAUAGGUUACUUUGUAUACAUUAAGAAUUGACCAAUCAAAUAGUCGUCUUCAAACUCUUGAAGACAAAUCGUGUACAGUGGGGAUGAUUUUUCUAGGGAACGGAAUUUUUAUAGGUUAUUUUGCAUCACUAAUCCGGAAAUUCGCAUUCCGGAUCCGAACGGUCACUUUUUACUACAAAACGUUAUAAUGCAUUGAAAAUUGUACCAUUAAUCCGGACGGUAAUUUUGUUUAGGGAAGGUCUGUGUCGGACAAUUUUAGCAAGGCGUAAAUUAUAAAGAAAACAAGCCAAACUGUAUAAUUGAAGCAAUUACCUGUACCCUGUCAACACCUCCUUAUGAUUAGGUGGUGUGUAAUGAUAUGUCAAUUAGAUACAUGUAGUAUGUGCCGAUCGAGACGUUGUAUUGCCAACUUUCGCACAUAAGAUCUUUCUUGCGAGUAGUGUUGAAUUUUGUAUAUAAAUCUGUAGCAUAUUAUUUUUAUAGUCUUGAUCAAUAGCCUAAUAGUAUCAAUAAAUUAAACAUCAUGCCGUAAUGAUAAUUUUGUUAACUGUUACAUGUGCUACACAUAUCAAUUGUACUGAUUCGUAAAUUGAUUAUCGGCUUAUGCAAAUCUAAAGAGUGUAGAUUAUACUUCUAGAUUCUGGAUUUAAUACUGUUGAUUGGCUUGAAAUAUACAUGUAUGUUCAUGCACAUGUAUAUGUAGUAAGUUUUUAACGUUUAGAAUGUCACGCAUGUAGAAUGUACCUGUGUACGAUUGAUUCUUGUUACGAUGUUGUAGAGCUUUAUUGCUUUCGAAUUUUCAAACUCUGGGUAGAAGUCAGAAAAUUACCAUUUUAAGGAAAAUGACAAUUAAAUUUUGUAUGUCAUAAUGUUAGUUUCACCCGAGUUUUGUUCCGUUAUUAUCGCAUCAUGAAAAUAAUAAGUGCGCGUGGCUAGAUCAAAGCAGUAGUAGGUCUUGAUAUUACGAGCUUAAAUGAUUUUUGUUCUCCCGAUAUUGUCUUGGAUAAUUAUAGAAUAAGAAAUAUAAACUCUGGCAGAUGGUAUUUUGGUUAAAGAAUGUUGUCAACUGACAUGAUAAUCACGAAAUUUUUAUAUCAACUUUGGACGAUGAAGAUUGUUUUAACAGACCGACGAACCCGUGAAUCGUGACAGAUGGAAAUUACCGGCCUCUUUAAGAAGUAAAAGUGUGAUGAAAUGUUUGAAGUGUAAAUGAUUAUGUUAGUUACUAAUGAUUCAUUUACGUAUAGUUACAUAAAGUGCUUCAUUAUUUGUUUUAGUGAAUACGGUACACAGUUUUGUAUAUUUAUUUGUAGGACUCAUAUACAUACAUGCCAACUUUCCCGAUUUGUGCGGGAUUCUCCCGAUUUGAAGCAGUUGAACAGGCAAAUCCCGAUAUCCCGAUCGGGAUUGCAAAAAUACCCCGAAGUCCCGAUUUUCUAAAAAUAUCUCCCAUUUUACGACAACAAACCCCCAUUUCCAACCGGAAUUUGAAAUACCGCGUCAUUUCUGAACUGGCCAAUCAGAAAUCGGGAAAAUAGUCAGCCAUGACGCAUGAUAUCGGAGCGGGGUGAUGUAAUUUACCUGGUCUGCCUGUGUCGGGGUGCUUAUUGGACAGUGCAAAGCAUGUUUUGAUAGUAAUUAAUCAGGAAGACGGAUUUCAAAUUGACAUAUCCUUUAUACAAACGUGAAUGACAACGAUAAUAGUGUCACCAUGCACCACCAAACAAUCGGACAUUCCCGAUUUUUUGCCUCUCGCUGACAGCAUCCAAAAUUUGCAAUAAGGUACGUAAAAUAUAUGUUUUUCCAACUAUAAUAAUGUAGGCUAUCCGAAUCUAUCUGUCUAUAGCGAUGUAUUUGCAUAGUCUAUAUAGUGUAGUAUUCAAUAGACUAUGUGAUGGGUAAUUCGCACAAGUCUGUACUGAAUUUUAUAUUAGCAAGUAGCCUUAAUUUACAAGUAAAAACGUAUAUUUUGAUGUGCUUUUUUCCUGGUAAUUAUUUCAGAUGUCAUGGGUGCAAAGGUUUUGUUCGCAAACUUCAUAGCAGGGCAGACUACUCCUUUUCUGGUUGCAAUGCAGAUUGUUCCACCAGACUCUGCAAGCCCAUGUUUACAGACAACCAAGAUCGCCUUUGUAGUUGUACCUUAAAUGCAUGUGCUUCAAUUUAAAUUUUGAUAUAUAGACCAGCCAAUGUGUAUAUGGUGUAAAAGGAUGCAACUUUAAGUAUUAUUUGAUAUUUGUAUGUGACUUGUUGGAGAGGAUUUUUUGUUGAAUAGAUGAUUUAAUAAAAUACUUAUGUAUAUCUUUCAAAGUGGUUUUUUUUUUUUUUAUAGUUUUGUUCAAGUCAAUGGUCAAACACACUUGAUGUUGUGUUAUGAAAAGACAAAUAUUUAUUUUCAUGGUAAAAUGUCGUGAAUAUUGAGUGUUGAAAAAAGGUCGCCGCGCGCAAAAUCCCCCAUGGGGAUUUUCAAAAGUUGGCAUGUAUGCAUAUAUACGUACAAUGUAAGCACAGGCAAAUACACUGAACACGUAUUAUAUUUUAGUGCUUUGAAAUACAUGUAAAUGUUAACAUCAUAAUUUAUUUACUAAUGCAAAUGGUCAAAUCCAAUGAUAGAAUGUGUUUAAUUCACUAUGCAUCAAUAAAGUAGGCAUAUAUUGGUUACUUAUGUAAAAAAUAUGCGAUUCAAUUAUCCGGACGCUUCAUUUAUCUGGACGAUUUUGCUGGGAACCAAAGUGUCCGGAUUAACGAGGCUCCACUGUAUAACACCUAUUCUCAUAUAAUGUGGACACUUUUUCUGAAGAAUUUUAAAAAAAUAAAGUUUUUAGAAUACUUUUUUGAAUGAUAGGUUAUGAAAGAAGAAGAUUCAUAACAUAAAAUUUCAAAAAUUGAACACUCAACCACAAAUCAUUAAAAAAUAAUGCUCAGUGGAAUAGAUCUGUCCAUUUUCAGUUUGUAAUCUACGUUAUCUACACAGUUUAGUAAAA